Long non-coding RNA from Oxyura jamaicensis (ruddy duck), 930 nucleotides. RefSeq lists it as uncharacterized. The record is from RefSeq and is a predicted model, not a curated record. NCBI's taxonomy places the organism in Eukaryota, Metazoa, Chordata, Aves, Anseriformes, Anatidae. The transcript is spliced from 4 exons.
ACAAAUUGUCUACCUGCUGCAAUACUUUACUUUAUGAAGAAGUUUUCACACCAACUAUACCCACAAAAAACGAUUUAGGGUUAAAAAAUACCAUUAUAGAUAAAUAAUAACAGGGGAAAGGAGAAAUUAACAGGUAGAAGCUCGGGAGAGAUGAGCUGUUUUCAGCUGAUGUUUGAAAUGAGUCAGAACAAAUGCAGCACAAGGAUAAAGUCAGAGCUGUAGGGAAGACUCACCGACAGCAGAAAUACUCCAGGAAAUGACUGCUCAUAAUGAAAGAGAGGGAGAGGAAUAUUGUGGCUGAGACUGGUCUCCCUUUAUGUCUGCUUGCUCUUCCUGCUGUGCUGUUCUGUACAUGGCUAAGCUACAUUGACGAGGAUUUUUGCCUGCAUCUGGAGUUUCUGGGAUUUGCCAGGCACUAAGACAGAAAGAGUUCUUAAAGAUGGAGGUGAACGAGAUAUAUGCAGCGAGCUGAUCUACUAGUUCACAAAAGGGAUGGGAUUCAUUUCAUCUCACUUUCAGGAUCUGAUACAGCUGUCCCACCUGAGCUCCUCUUCUGGAUACCCAUUGAAGAUGCUGGAGGUUAGUGAGCUGAACUUCCUCAUUACAGUGCUUGGUGACUACGUGAGCCUCACUACGUGAGAGGAGGAAUUAUGAGAUUUGGGAAAACGUUAUGUCUCCUUGAGGCACCUGGUAGAUUCACCCACACAUGCUUUGGAAGAAUCUAUGAAAUUAUAGAAGGGCAGGGAGGAUUAUUUUUUUUUUUUCCUUCCUUUAUUUGUUUAAAAUCUGUAUUAUUUCACUGGAAUGGUUUGCUGUGACCCCAUGAGCAAUUGCAGCAGCACAAUAGAGAUGAGGCCACUUUGUCACUCCCUUGCUUAUUGCUAUGGGUUGUGGAAGAAGCAUUACAGAAGAGCCCCAGUGAAGCCCCCU